RNAcentral lists this transfer RNA (72 nucleotides) under Eupsittula pertinax chrysogenys (Brazilian brown-throated parakeet). RNAcentral's name for it is "tRNA-Ile". Lineage: Eukaryota; Metazoa; Chordata; Aves; Psittaciformes; Psittacidae. The record is from RNAcentral.
GGAAAUGUACCUGAAUGUCAAGGGUCACUGUGAUAAAGUGAACACAGAGGUACACGAACCCUCUCAUUUCCU